Molecule: long non-coding RNA, 438 nt
Filed under: Setaria viridis
Lineage: Eukaryota; Viridiplantae; Streptophyta; Magnoliopsida; Poales; Poaceae
Description: long non-coding RNA (SVIR_LNC007000)
Source: RNAcentral
CCACCAUCAUUACUUCCAGCCUCCGCCCGCCCUUGCGCCGCUUAUAAAAGGGUGCCGAGCCCCUACCGCCUCCCCACACCCUUGGCACCGCCUCCCUGCUCGCUCUCUCUUCCCUACCGCCCGCACGCCGCCGCCGGUAACCCGCCGCCGCCAUCUAUUGGUCAAGGUGAGGGCCAAAAUAGGCCCCCCACACUCUCCUCUCCUUCCCCCACCACUCGGCUUCGCCGCCGGCGAGCUAGGCCGGCCGUCCCGCCGCCGGCCAUCCCCCUCCCCAUUUCCUGUUGUGGCCAAAGGAAGAAGAAAGGAUAAAAUCCCUCCCCUCUCGAUCUAACCCUCUAGUUUCCCUUAUUCGCAAACAAGCCCUUCCACCAUUUCAGAAAUAAUUACAAAUAGGUCCCUAGUUCUCGCGGUUUAGUCCGAAACCUUGUUUUAAGCCCC